GAUGAACGCUAGCGGGAGGCCUAACACAUGCAAGCCGAGCGGUAUUGUUUCUUCGGAAAUGUGAGAGCGGCGUACGGGUGCGUAACACGUGUGCAACCUGCCUUUAUCUGGGGGAUAGCCUUUCGAAAGGAAGAUUAAUACUCCAUAAUAUAUUGAACGGCAUCGUUUAAUAUUGAAAGCUCCGGCGGAUAGAGAUGGGCACGGGCAAGAUUAGCUAGUUGGUGAGGUAACGGCUCACCAAGGCGAUGAUCUUUAGGGGGCCUGAGAGGGUGAUCCCCCACACUGGUACUGAGACACGGACCAGACUCCUACGGGAGGCAGCAGUGAGGAAUAUUGGUCAAUGGGUGCAAGCCUGAACCAGCCAUCCCGCGUGAAGGACGACUGCCCUAUGGGUUGUAAACUUCUUUUGUAUAGGGAUAAACCUACCCUCGUGAGGGUAGCUGAAGGUACUAUACGAAUAAGCACCGGCUAACUCCGUG
This 479-nucleotide ribosomal RNA is filed under the name uncultured bacterium. Its description in RNAcentral is "partial 16S ribosomal RNA". It matches the Rfam family "Bacterial small subunit ribosomal RNA", at positions 28 to 507 of the family's 1533-position model. The record is from RNAcentral.